This 837-nucleotide long non-coding RNA is filed under the name Vitis vinifera (wine grape). RNAcentral's name for it is "long non-coding RNA (VVIN_LNC003863)". Lineage: Eukaryota; Viridiplantae; Streptophyta; Magnoliopsida; Vitales; Vitaceae. The record is from RNAcentral.
UCCCAUAAUCUCUCUUCACUUAGCUCCAUCUCUCCUUCCUUCAAGACCGAAUUCAGUUUCACGCUUUGUCCACUAAAGAAUUAUGCCGUGUGAUAUUCUCCCUUGAAGAAAAAUUCACUUCUCCCCAUUUUUCCUCCCCAACUGUAUUCAGUCCUCCCCAAAGUUCUAGAGACUUCCCUCUAAAAAUUCUGAUCACUUUCAUUCCCUCCAAAAUUCAAAUCUGUCCACUAAUAGUCACCUCUCUAAAACCUUCUCAUCCUAUUCCCUCCAAGCCAAAACCAUGCACUAAAUCCAUGUGACUCUAGAAAAUUCUGCCACCUUCAUUUUUUCCACAAACUGAGCACCAAACAGCCUCCAUUCUAGAAAAAUCUGAUGCUCACAACAAUCCCCACCGUGUGCACAAUCAGCUCAGGUGUUCUCCAGGUUCUGAUGCUCUCCACUUUACAAAUUUUGAUUUUGUCCACCAUGUGCACAACAAUUCUAGAAAAAUCCAUGAGACUCUAGAACAUUCUGCCACCUUCUUUUUUUCCACAAACUGAGCACCAAACAACCUCCAUUCUAGAAAAAUCCGAUGCUCACAACAAUCCCCACCAUGUGCACAAUCAGCUCAGGUGUUCUCCAGGUUCUGAUGCUCACAUGAAUCCUCCUUAAUAGCCCACUCUCAUGCCCUCCUUCUAGUGAAAUCCUCAUGUUUUCUUUCUCAUCACAGCCCACUUGCACAACUUGGAAAGGGUAAUUAUAUAUGUAUCUCAAGGAUCCCAUGCAUUUGGACAUUUCUUUUAGGAAUUAAUUUAGUGGGAGUACAGAACCUAUUUUUCCUUAAAUUUGAAAACAAAA